This 445-nucleotide ribosomal RNA is filed under the name uncultured Micrococcus sp. RNAcentral describes it as "bacterial SSU rRNA". It matches the Rfam family "Bacterial small subunit ribosomal RNA", at positions 338 to 795 of the family's 1533-position model. Lineage: Bacteria; Bacillati; Actinomycetota; Actinomycetes; Micrococcales; Micrococcaceae. The record is from RNAcentral.
CCUACGGGUGGCUGCAGUGGGGAAUAUAGCACAAUGGGCGCAAGCCUGAUGCAGCGACGCCGCGUGAGGGAUGACGGCCUUCGGGUUGUAAACCUCUUUCAGUAGGGAAGAAGCGAAAGUGACGGUACCUGCAGAAGAAGCACCGGCUAACUACGUGCCAGCAGCCGCGGUAAUACGUAGGGUGCGAGCGUUAUCCGGAAUUAUUGGGCGUAAAGAGCUCGUAGGCGGUUUGUCGCGUCUGUCGUGAAAGUCCGGGGCUUAACCCCGGAUCUGCGGUGGGUACGGGCAGACUAGAGUGCAGUAGGGGAGACUGGAAUUCCUGGUGUAGCGGUGGAAUGCGCAGAUAUCAGGAGGAACACCGAUGGCGAAGGCAGGUCUCUGGGCUGUAACUGACGCGGAGGAGCGAAAGCAUGGGGAGCGAACAGGAUUAGAUACCCCAGUAGUC